RNAcentral lists this ribosomal RNA (428 nucleotides) under uncultured bacterium. RNAcentral's name for it is "bacterial SSU rRNA". It matches the Rfam family "Bacterial small subunit ribosomal RNA", at positions 355 to 776 of the family's 1533-position model. The record is from RNAcentral.
UCGAGAAUUUUUCUCAAUGGGCGAAAGCCUGAAGGAGCGACGCCGCGUGGGGGAUGAAGGGCUUCGGCUCGUAAACCCCUGUCAUUUGCGAACAAACCUUUAUAUUUAACAGAUGUAAAGCUGAUAGUAGUGAAAGAGGAAGGGACGGCUAACUCUGUGCCAGCAGCCGCGGUAAUACAGAGGUCCCAAGCGUUGUUCGGAUUCACUGGGCGUAAAGGGUGCGUAGGUGGCGGAAUAAGUUUGAUGUGAAAUCUCCGGGCUUAACCUGGAAAUGGCAUUAAAUACUGUUUUGCUAGAGGGUUGGAGGGGGGACUGGAAUUCUCGGUGUAGCAGUGAAAUGCGUAGAUAUCGAGAGGAACACCAGUGGCGAAAGCGAGUCCCUGGACAGCUCCUGACACUGAGGCACGAAAGCUAGGGGAGCAAACAGG